UAGUGAUAUCAUCCAAUCUUAUAAAUCAUUCCUAGAGUUAGGUGUCUCCAGUGACUAAUGGCGAUGACACUGUCCUGGGCAAUGAUUCCUGAAAGUCUGCUCUAGUAUUCGGCUUCGUUGGUUCAGUUCAUAGUCAAUUUCGAUCGACCCAUGAAGACCACCCGCGUUCUCUCCUUUCUGUUCUCUGUAGCCCUUCCAAAAUUGUCAAGAGUCGUCUGCUUAACUGCCAGAAAUCCAGAUGAAUCUGCAGUGCUUCAACUUCGUCAACAGUUGACAGGGGAAGUUUUAAUUUAAUUGAUAAGAAGGUGCUCUUCUGGUUUCUUCAUGAGCUAAAGUCCUGAAAAUGCUACACAUUUAAUGGGAAUCAGGAGCAACUGAAGCUUUACAUGUUCUCAAGUAAGAGUUGGUGUGGAGUUUACAAAUGUAGAGGUGAGAUAUAAGAAUUUGAGAUUGGAAGCUGAUUGUGAGAUUGUCCACAGAAAGCCCCUCCCAACUCUAUGGCUCAUUCUCUGUUAAGCCUGGAAGGAUGAUUCUUCUGCUUGGCCCCCAAGUUGCAGGAAGACCACACUUUUAAAGGCUCUCUCUGGAACUCCUAACAAAUCUCUAAAGAGAUAGCAGGGGAAAAGUUUUCUUCAGUGGUUACCGGUUUGAUGAGUUUAUUGCUAGAAAAUGUCAGCUUAUAUAUGCCAAGAAAAUCUGCAUUUUGCAGAAAUGACUGAGGGAACACUUGAUUUUUCUGCCUAAUAUCUUGGUGUUGGAAACUGAGGAAUUAGUCUUCUUAUAAUUUAAUUCAAUGAAGUUACAGUCAUAGCCGCCUCAUCAAUUCCCACGAGUAGUUGAUAGGUACAGAGCAAUUUUUUUUUCUGCCUGUGCAGAUAUGAUGAUGGAAGUCAGUAAAAGAGAGGAAUCAACAAUUGUUCCGGAU
Mangifera indica (mango) is the source of this 925-nucleotide long non-coding RNA. RefSeq lists it as uncharacterized. The transcript is spliced from 5 exons. NCBI's taxonomy places the organism in Eukaryota, Viridiplantae, Streptophyta, Magnoliopsida, Sapindales, Anacardiaceae. The record is from RefSeq and is a predicted model, not a curated record.